This is a long non-coding RNA of Oncorhynchus tshawytscha (Chinook salmon), 454 nucleotides long. The record is from Ensembl. NCBI's taxonomy places the organism in Eukaryota, Metazoa, Chordata, Actinopteri, Salmoniformes, Salmonidae.
GUCUAGCUUGUUAUGCUGGCCGACCAGCAUGGUCUAGGUGGUUAUGCUGGCCGACCAGCAUGGUCUAGGUGGUUAUGGUGGCAGACCAGCAUGGUCUAGGUGGUUAUGCUGGCAGACCAGCAUGGUCUAGGUGGUUAUGCUGGCCGACCAGCAUGGUCCAGGAUGUUAUGCUGGCAGACCAGCAUGGUCCAGGAUGUUAUGCUGGCAGACCAGCAUGGUCCAGGAUGUUAUGCUGGCAGACCAGCAUGGUCCAGGAUGUUAUCUGGCAGACCAGCAUGGUUUAGGUGGUUAUGGUGGCAGACCAGCAUGGUCUAGGUGGUUAUGGUGGCAGACCAGCAUGGUCUAGGUGGUUAUGGUGGCAGACCAUCAUGGUCUAGGAUGUUAUGCUGGCAGACCAGCAUGGUCUAGGUGGCUAUGCUGGCCGACCAGCAUGGUCUUGGUGGUUAUGGUGGCA